GGGUUGUGAGGUUAAGCGACUAAGCGUACACGGUGGAUGCCCUGGCAGUCAGAGGCGAUGAAGGACGUGCUAAUCUGCGAAAAGCGUCGGUAAGGUGAUAUGAACCGUUACAGCCGGCGAUGUCCGAAUGGGGAAACCCAGUGCAAUUCGUUGCACUAUCGUUAACUGAAUACAUAGGUUAACGAGGCGAACCGGGGGAACUGAAACAUCUAAGUACCCCGAGGAAAAGAAAUCAACCGAGAUUCCCCCAGUAGCGGCGAGCGAACGGGGAGCAGCCCAGAGUCUGAAUCAGCUUGUGUGUUAGUGGAACGGUCUGGAAAGUCCGACGGUACAGGGUGAUAGUCCCGUACACCAAAAUGCACAGGCUGUGAACUCGAAGAGUAGGGCGGGACACGUGGUAUCCUGUCUGAAUAUGGGGGGACCAUCCUCCAAGGCUAAAUACUCCUGACUGACCGAUAGUGAACCAGUACCGUGAGGGAAAGGCGAAAAGAACCCCGGCGAGGGGAGUGAAAAAGAACCUGAAACCGUGUACGUACAAGCAGUGGGAGCACCUUCGGGUGUGACUGCGUACCUUUUGUAUAAUGGGUCAGCGACUUAUAUUCUGUAGCAAGGUUAACCGUAUAGGGGAGCCGCAGGGAAACCGAGUCUUAACUGGGCGUUAAGUUGCAGGGUAUAGACCCGAAACCCGGUGAUCUAGCCAUGGGCAGGUUGAAGGUUGGGUAACACUAACUGGAGGACCGAACCGACUAAUGUUGAAAAAUUAGCGGAUGACUUGUGGCUGGGGGUGAAAGGCCAAUCAAACCGGGAGAUAGCUGGUUCUCCCCGAAAGCUAUUUAGGUAGCGCCUCGUGAAUUCAUCUUCGGGGGUAGAGCACUGUUUCGGCUAGGGGGUCAUCCCGACUUACCAACCCGAUGCAAACUACGAAUACCGAAGAAUGUUAUCACGGGAGACACACGGCGGGUGCUAACGUCCGUCGUGAAGAGGGAAACAACCCAGACCGCCAGCUAAGGUCCCAAAGUCAUGGUUAAGUGGGAAACGAUGUGGGAAGGCACAGACAGCCAGGAUGUUGGCUUAGAAGCAGCCAUCAUUUAAAGAAAGCGUAAUAGCUCACUGGUCGAGUCGGCCUGCGCGGAAGAUGUAACGGGGCUAAACCAUGCACCGAAGCUGCGGCAGCGACACUAUGUGUUGUUGGGUAGGGGAGCGUUCUGUAAGCCUGCGAAGGUGUGCUGUGAGGCAUGCUGGAGGUAUCAGAAGUGCGAAUGCUGACAUAAGUAACGAUAAAGCGGGUGAAAAGCCCGCUCGCCGGAAGACCAAGGGUUCCUGUCCAACGUUAAUCGGGGCAGGGUGAGUCGACCCCUAAGGCGAGGCCGAAAGGCGUAGUCGAUGGGAAACAGGUUAAUAUUCCUGUACUUGGUGUUACUGCGAAGGGGGGACGGAGAAGGCUAUGUUAGCCGGGCGACGGUUGUCCCGGUUUAAGCAUGUAGGCUGGUUGUCCAGGCAAAUCCGGAUAAUCAAGGCUGAGGUGUGAUGACGAGGCACUACGGUGCUGAAGUAACAAAUGCCCUGCUUCCAGGAAAAGCCUCUAAGCAUCAGGUAACAUCAAAUCGUACCCCAAACCGACACAGGUGGUCAGGUAGAGAAUACCAAGGCGCUUGAGAGAACUCGGGUGAAGGAACUAGGCAAAAUGGUGCCGUAACUUCGGGAGAAGGCACGCUGGUGUGUAGGUGAAGCCCCUGCGGGUGGAGCUGAGACCAGUCGAAGAUACCAGCUGGCUGCAACUGUUUAUUAAAAACACAGCACUGUGCAAACACGAAAGUGGACGUAUACGGUGUGACGCCUGCCCGGUGCCGGAAGGUUAAUUGAUGGGGUUAUCCGUAAGGAGAAGCUCUUGAUCGAAGCCCCGGUAAACGGCGGCCGUAACUAUAACGGUCCUAAGGUAGCGAAAUUCCUUGUCGGGUAAGUUCCGACCUGCACGAAUGGCGUAAUGAUGGCCAGGCUGUCUCCACCCGAGACUCAGUGAAAUUGAACUCGCUGUGAAGAUGCAGUGUACCCGCGGCAAGACGGAAAGACCCCGUGAACCUUUACUAUAGCUUGACACUGAACAUUGAGCCUUGAUGUGUAGGAUAGGUGGGAGGCUUUGAAGCGUGGACGCCAGUCUGCGUGGAGCCAACCUUGAAAUACCACCCUUUAAUGUUUGAUGUUCUAACGUUGGCCCCUGACCGGGGUUGCGGACAGUGUCUGGUGGGUAGUUUGACUGGGGCGGUCUCCUCCUAAAGCGUAACGGAGGAGCACGAAGGUUAGCUAAUCCUGGUCGGACAUCAGGAGGUUAGUGCAAUGGCAUAAGCUAGCUUGACUGCGAGCGUGACGGCGCGAGCAGGUGCGAAAGCAGGUCAUAGUGAUCCGGUGGUUCUGAAUGGAAGGGCCAUCGCUCAACGGAUAAAAGGUACUCCGGGGAUAACAGGCUGAUACCGCCCAAGAGUUCAUAUCGACGGCGGUGUUUGGCACCUCGAUGUCGGCUCAUCACAUCCUGGGGCUGAAGUAGGUCCCAAGGGUAUGGCUGUUCGCCAUUUAAAGUGGUACGCGAGCUGGGUUUAGAACGUCGUGAGACAGUUCGGUCCCUAUCUGCCGUGGGCGCUGGAGAAUUGAGGGGGGCUGCUCCUAGUACGAGAGGACCGGAGUGGACGCAUCACUGGUGUUCGGGUUGUCAUGCCAAUGGCACUGCCCGGUAGCUAAAUGCGGAAGAGAUAAGUGCUGAAAGCAUCUAAGCACGAAACUUGCCCCGAGAUGAGUUCUCCCUGAGACUUUAAGUCUCCUGAAGGAACGUUGAAGACGACGACGUUGAUAGGCCGGGUGUGUAAGCGCAGCGAUGCGUUGAGCUAACCGGUACUAAUGAACCGUGAGGCUUAACCUUACAACGCCGAAG
This 2923-nucleotide ribosomal RNA is filed under the name Klebsiella pneumoniae. RNAcentral describes it as "23S ribosomal RNA". It matches the Rfam family "Bacterial large subunit ribosomal RNA". The record is from RNAcentral. Lineage: Bacteria; Pseudomonadati; Pseudomonadota; Gammaproteobacteria; Enterobacterales; Enterobacteriaceae.